This 58-nucleotide ribosomal RNA is filed under the name Oceanospirillum linum. The record is from RNAcentral. Lineage: Bacteria; Pseudomonadati; Pseudomonadota; Gammaproteobacteria; Oceanospirillales; Oceanospirillaceae.
UGCUCAGCGCCGAUGGUAGUGUGGGGUCUCCCCAUGUGAGAGUAGGACAUCGUCAAGC